Homo sapiens (human) is the source of this 2032-nucleotide long non-coding RNA. RefSeq lists it as uncharacterized. Lineage: Eukaryota; Metazoa; Chordata; Mammalia; Primates; Hominidae. The record is from RefSeq and is a predicted model, not a curated record. The transcript is spliced from 2 exons.
GUAGAAUUAUAGUCACAUUUCUUUUACCUUUUUAUCUGUAUUUUCUAUUUUUCUGUAAUACACAGGAACUUCUUGUGUAAAUAAAUAAUGAAAUAAAACAGCAAAGUGGAAAGAGAUGAGAAUAAAGAAAUCACUGGAACAAUUAGGAGGAGACCCUUGAGAAACUCACCAGAAAAAGGCCGACCAAGGUGGCAAAAGUGCAGAAUGCCCAGAUUAGAGAUCUACAAAGCCACAGGGCUUUGCAAACAGGAGGAAUAGACAUUUCUGGCCAACAAAUUAUUAACAACUGCCUCCUUACAAGGAGUGGGGAGGAAACCUCUUUAGCAACACACUACUGAUAAAGAAACUUGAGGUUUCCAUAUAUGGAGACUAAAAUGAUGUACAAAGAGUUCUAAGGGUCCUGAAAUAAGGAACCAUCAUCCCAGCAUGGAACAGUGAAGUAGAAGGGGAACAGCAAGAUGAAGACUCCAGACAAGGCCCAAGCACACACAGCUGCUCCAGCCACACCCGCUGGUCUCAGUUGACUGGUUUGGAGGUGGACAUCUCACUCAAGCUCGGCCAAUGGGUGUCCCUCCUCUGGGGCUUUUGAACAUGGGAUUUUAGAGAGCUUGAGGAUGUCACUGGAGGCUGAUGUAACUCUUGGAGCUAUUGGAAACUAUUAGGAGAAUGCCAAUUAGCAGCAAGGAAGAGGUGAGCUCACAUGCAGAGAGAAACAGCUGCAGAGACUUGAUGACAUUAUUGGUUCUGGAUCCCAUCACGGCUGAAGGUUGCUUAUCAUUCUGCCCUUCACCUGGCUUAGUCUGGGAAGUGAUUUCUUAAUUUUCUCCAAGGCAAUACAUGUCCCUCUCCAUUUUAGCUGGCCUAAGAUAAUUUUUGUCAAUUGGAACCAAAUAGCUCUCAUUAAUACUGAUCACUGUACACUUUCCUGUCGAAAAUUUGAAAAUGGUUCUUCAUUCCCCUAGGAAUACAAAGCAAAAAUAAAAAUCUCUACCAUAGCCUACAAGGCCAGCGUGGGCUGGCUCCUUUCUGGCUCCUAGACCUCAAGUUGUAUCCUUGGACAUCACCUAUUAACAGGCCCUUGUCCAUGGGGCUCCCUCCAUGUGGAAUGCCCUCCCUUCGACCCUACUCAGUCUUCAGAUUACAGACCGACCACAGCUUCUCUGGGAAGCAUUUUCUGACCUCCGUGGCAGACCAAACUCCCAUGGAAUAGUCCCUUGGAGUACCAAGUCACCAUCUCCCCAGCACUUGCCACAAUUGUAAUUGUACUUUCAUUUGUGAUUAUGUGAUGGUUAUUUGUCUCACCUGCUGUCAGAUCAGUGGCAGCAUUAGAUUCUCCUAGGAAAAACCAACUCAGGGAUCCCAUUGAUUCUACAUUAUGGUGAGUAUGAAUAAUAAUAGGAAUAAAGUACACAAUAAAUGUUAUGUGCUGGAAUCAUCCUGAAACCAUUUCCCCACCCACCGUCCAUGGAAAAAUCAUCUUCCAUAAAACCGGCCAAAAAGGUUUGGGGACCACUGCUCUACACCAUCUCCAGCACCCAACUCAGUACCGUAGUGGCUGUCAGAUGGGUUUGCAACUUCAUGGACACUCCUCCUCUCAAAUUCUCCUUAAGUGGGCCCAGCUUGGUGACUCAUUUCUAAUGAAUGAAAUGCAGUGAAAGUGAUGUGAUGUAAUUUCUCAGGCUAAGUCCUAAAAGGAAGCUGCUUCCACUUGGCUGUCCCUCGAGGACUGUUUACUUUGAGAAAGGCUAUCUGUCAUUUUGUGAGGACACUCAAGCAGCAUGUGGAGGGCCCUAUAUAGGGAAGAACUGGGUCCUCCCACCAGUGGCUGUUACCAGCUCACUAGCCAUGCAAGUGAACCACCGUGGACAUAAAUCUUUUAUUCCAGUCCAGCCUCCAGACGACUGCAACCCCAAAUAACAUCAUUACUGCAAUCUUAUGAGGGACCCUGAGCCAGAACCACCCAGUUAAGUUACUCCCAAAUUCCUGAUCCACAAAACUGAGUGAGAUAAUAAAUAUUUAUUAUUUUAAGCCA